Long non-coding RNA from Melopsittacus undulatus (budgerigar), 184 nucleotides. RefSeq lists it as uncharacterized. The transcript has 3 exons. Lineage: Eukaryota; Metazoa; Chordata; Aves; Psittaciformes; Psittaculidae. The record is from RefSeq and is a predicted model, not a curated record.
CCUGCUCCGCACCAUGAAGCGGCGGCAGCAGCAGCACGGAGCGGCCGAGCGGGCCGCGCUCGCCAUCGAGAAGCACCCCAAUGUGAGCCUUCGCUGGUUCCAGCCGGUCCCCGCCGGCAAAUCCUCCCCGGCCCCCCCCAGUCUCUAUUACCCCAACGAGGGGUUCAGCGAGGAGGGCUCGGAC